AUUGAACGCUGGCGGCAGGCCUAACACAUGCAAGUCGAGCGGAAACGAGUUAUCUGAACCUUCGGGGAACGAUAACGGCGUCGAGCGGCGGACGGGUGAGUAAUGCCUAGGAAAUUGCCCUGAUGUGGGGGAUAACCAUUGGAAACGAUGGCUAAUACCGCAUGAUGCCUACGGGCCAAAGAGGGGGACCUUCGGGCCUCUCGCGUCAGGAUAUGCCUAGGUGGGAUUAGCUAGUUGGUGAGGUAAGGGCUCACCAAGGCGACGAUCCCUAGCUGGUCUGAGAGGAUGAUCAGCCACACUGGAACUGAGACACGGUCCAGACUCCUACGGGAGGCAGCAGUGGGGAAUAUUGCACAAUGGGCGCAAGCCUGAUGCAGCCAUGCCGCGUGUAUGAAGAAGGCCUUCGGGUUGUAAAGUACUUUCAGUCGUGAGGAAGGUGGUGUAGUUAAUAGCUGCAUUAUUUGACGUUAGCGACAGAAGAAGCACCGGCUAACUCCGUGCCAGCAGCCGCGGUAAUACGGAGGGUGCGAGCGUUAAUCGGAAUUACUGGGCGUAAAGCGCAUGCAGGUGGUUUGUUUAAGUCAGAUGUGAAAGCCCGGGGCUCAACCUCGGAAUUGCAUUUGAAACUGGCAGACUAGAGUACUGUAGAGGGGGGUAGAAUUUCAGGUGUAGCGGUGAAAUGCGUAGAGAUCUGAAGGAAUACCGGUGGCGAAGGCGGCCCCCUGGACAGAUACUGACACUCAGAUGCGAAAGCGUGGGGAGCAAACAGGAUUAGAUACCCUGGUAGUCCACGCCGUAAACGAUGUCUACUUGGAGGUUGUGGCCUUGAGCCGUGGCUUUCGGAGCUAACGCGUUAAGUAGACCGCCUGGGGAGUACGGUCGCAAGAUUAAAACUCAAAUGAAUUGACGGGGGCCCGCACAAGCGGUGGAGCAUGUGGUUUAAUUCGAUGCAACGCGAAGAACCUUACCUACUCUUGACAUCCAGAGAACUUUCCAGAGAUGGAUUGGUGCCUUCGGGAACUCUGAGACAGGUGCUGCAUGGCUGUCGUCAGCUCGUGUUGUGAAAUGUUGGGUUAAGUCCCGCAACGAGCGCAACCCUUAUCCUUGUUUGCCAGCGAGUAAUGUCGGGAACUCCAGGGAGACUACCGGUGAUAAACCGGAGGAAGGUGGGGACGACGUCAAGUCAUCAUGGCCCUUACGAGUAGGGCUACACACGUGCUACAAUGGCGCAUACAGAGGGCGGCCAACUUGCGAAAGUGAGCGAAUCCCAAAAAGUGCGUCGUAGUCCGGAUUGGAGUCUGCAACUCGACUCCAUGAAGUCGGAAUCGCUAGUAAUCGUGGAUCAGAAUGCCACGGUGAAUACGUUCCCGGGCCU
This 1375-nucleotide ribosomal RNA is filed under the name uncultured bacterium. RNAcentral's name for it is "bacterial SSU rRNA". It matches the Rfam family "Bacterial small subunit ribosomal RNA", at positions 28 to 1381 of the family's 1533-position model. The record is from RNAcentral.